UCCUGGUGCCCUAGGCAAUUGCCUAGUUCGCCUCAAUGGAAGCUCCGGCCCUGCUGGUGUCCCACCCCGGGGGGGAGUUCUGGAGUGGGAUGAAUCUCCCAGAAGAGGGUCUUGUGAGCCCUCUAACAACUCCUCCCACUGAUCUCUGCCAUCAGAGUGCAGGACUAUCACCUCAUAAGUCCCAGCGCCGGGCAGAAGAGGCCAUCUCUUACCAAGAAUGCAUGUUUUAGAAAUCAUGGAAAGGCUGAGAGGAAACAUGAACUCCUUCACCAUCACAGACCCAAACAUACAUGGGGGGAAACAGAACAACCAUGUGCCAGCAACCCUUUAUCCUCUGGUAGAAGGCCCAAACGCACAUGGGGGGAAACAGAACAACCAUGUGCCAGCAACCCUUUAUCCUCUGGUAGAAGAUAACUUUCUGCAAUUGGCUUUAUUGAAAAGUAUUUUGUGGCAAACUCUUGGUUGUAAACUGCUGGGGUUUUAUGGCUGCAAACUCUUGGUAUGCAUGUUUCAAACGUACGGGUUUCUGUGCAAAAUGUUUUUUUUUAAGUUGGUUUUACCACAGUUUGGUUUUUAUUCUGCAAAAUGAGAUGUGUUUUUGAAAUGUUUGUGGGUUGUUGUUUUUUUUAAGUGGUAGAAAUAAACUCAAAAGCUGUUUGUUGUACAGCCUGAAAUCGAUUAUUUUGUCUUAAAGCUGUGCCUUUUUAAAUAGAAAAACACCAUAAUGAGUAUUUUAUUUUUUAAGUUUACAAGACCAUUUCAUCUGUUUUAUAAUAAUACUGUUGUCUGCUCCACGGUAUGGUCAAAACAUGAGAGAUCCCUAAACCAAGGGUAAACAAGCUCAAAAGAAAAAGGAAAGAAAUAGCUGCAAAGGAAAACUCACCAGCAUCAAUGGCUGAUGGAUGGAUGAAACCCACUAAAUAUAUUUUGCUUAUUGGUUUGGUUAUUUUAUGAGGUUGAGUAUUUUAAGUAAAUACAUAGGCGUGGGUAAGAAAGAUGGUAAAAUUAAGUUUUGGAAAAUGUUUUUUUUUCCCCUAAUCAGGCAAGUGCAGCUCUCCUAACAAUGCUAUAGUUGGAGCUACAGGGACACCUCCACCAGAACUGCCAAAGAACCAGGAAUCUGCUUUGAGACUUUUAACAACGCCAGCAUAAAACAGCACAAGAGUGCAGAUGAAGUAUCAGGACAGUCCAAUCCUCAUAUUCGUCAAACCCAAGAACAAAACAAAAGACUCUAGUAAAAACCAACCAGGCAAACACAACUCCAGUUCCUCAGCAGCCACUACCACACCAAGCCCUGAGAAAACUGUGAGCGAAAAUGCCCACAUUCACAAACCUGGAGCACGUGCUCUAGGGUUUGUGAAUAAAAAACCAAGGACUGACAAACCACUCUCCCAACACCACAAGCUCUUCACAGCUCCCCCAUAUUCUAGUAUUUGGGAAAAGUAUGAUGCCUCAUUCAGAAAACUGAUGGACUCUGUUCCUCAGGGGUUCUAAAAGAAAAGAGGGCUGGAAACUACAUUAAAAAUGCAAAAGCUCUGGCGGGUGAUUUUUUGAAAAUACUUCAAUUUUUCCAAAGGGUGGCUCUAAGCAGGCAUGACUAUUCGUGGAAAGGGGCUGCGUACAAGGGGCACCCUCAAGGGUACAUCCACUCAGGUGUAAAGAAGAGGGGGGACAGUGCGUGGGAGAUAAACAUAUGGCUGCCAAAAAGUUCCAGGCCAGGGUUGCUGUAAAUUUUUUUUAAAAGACUGAAGAGGUAAUGAGGAAAAAACAAAACAAAAAGAUUCUCCUUACUGGAGGCUCUCAAACUGGCUCAUCUGAAAAUGGGGAGGUGGAAUCUGACUUGUGGGUGGUAGUGACUCUCACACAGAGUCUGAUUUAGAAAAUUCCUCAGAAGGCUCUCUAGAUGGGUCCAGGGUGACUCCUGAUGACUCUCACAGAAGCCCCUCAGAGUCUGACUCUCAAAUAGCAUCUGAUGUCGAAGAUGCCGAUGAUGGUCCCAUAGAGGAACCCCCAAGUGACCUUGAAAAUGCAGAGGUGUACAUGGAGAGAGUGAGACUCCAUGAGGGUCAUCAGAAGUAGAUGGGACCCAUCUAGUGGGUUACUACCAGAACAGUUGUGACGUGAAAGUGGGGAUAGGGACGUGCUGAACCUGUGACAUGUGAAGAUGCCAGCUUGGAAGUGCUGUUCGACCCAGCCUGCUCAGGCUUACUCUAUUCUGGUGCAGUACUGUGGCCUAUAAGCUUGAGAGUGCUGAUUGACCCGGUCCAAUCAGACUUGCUUUGUUAGUGUAUGUGUUUGUGUGCGUGUGCUCAUCUGAUUCUGGGGCUGGAGGAACCCAGCUCUGGGGAACCUAGGUCUUGCAGGAUAGCUCCAUCGUUAGGGGACUUGCAGAAGGGAAGAGUAGAGCUCCAUAGGAAAACACGAAUGACACAAGCAAUACAUUAAUAGAAUGACAGAACACCUCCCCUCCCCCCGAAGAGUAACGAUAAUAAAUGAGCAUACCCCAAAGUAACGGGCAGAACUGGUAACACUCUGGUCUAAGGAUCUCUCAUGUUUUGACCGUACUAUGGAGCAGACAACAUUAUUAUUAUAAAACACAAGAAACAGUCUUGUAAAGUUAAAAAACCAAAAAGCUGCCCCUUCUUGGAAGCUCUCAAACUGGCUCGUCUGAAAAUGGGGAGGUGAAAUCCGACCUGUGGGGUGGUGAUGACUCUCACUCAGAGUCUGAUUUAGAAAAUUCCCCAGAAGGCUCUCUAGAUGGGUCCAGGGUGCCAUCAGGGUUAAUGUAUUAGUGAUCAGUAAUUAAAUUUGAUGGGUGUGCACCCACAGUAAGGGAGGUGGUAGGGUGAGAAUGGUGAGUUUUGAUUAAUAUGAAAUGAAAUAAAACCUCAGAAAUUCACAGAUGCUAUUGAACAGUUUAAAUAGAACCCCUGGAGUUGGUAGAACUCUAUUGGACAGUUUAAAUAUAACCCAGGAGUUGGUUGAACGCUAUGGGUCACUCUUUUUCUAGCAACUUAAAGUCAUUAAAAGUUUAAAAUACCAUAUUUACAAAAAAUAAACCAGGGUCUAACCCAAAACUUAAAUAUUUCAAUUGUUCACAAACCACCACAAUACUUUAGAACAAGCAUUUGCUCUAAAGCCCAUCAAACAUUUAAAAACUAUGGAUAUUAUUAGGCUGCUCACAAUGGUUGUGAUACACCCAUUUUAUUUCAAAAACAGCCCCCAGAUUUUAAGCGUGAAAGAAAAUGUUUAAAAAACAAACAAACCAGCCCCAAGACAUUGAUAUCUGCAAAGGGCCCCCAUUUAGGAAUGGAUACAGUAACAAAGGACUGAUGAUUUACUGUUUAAUAUGGUAAAAAGGCCCUACAGAAAAAUGUAUUUUAACUAAAAGGAAAAAAAAAUAGCCAAAAGCAGCCUAGUUGUGCAAACAAAUUUAAUUUUCCCCAUCCCACAUCACAAAAGGGAAUGUUAGGGGAGGGGUGCCUAAAGUCCUUAAGUACCUAUUAAUUCAGAGUUGUGGUGAUUGAGUCAACCUGCUAAUUACAGUGGUCUACAAUUUUUGAGAAGUCGUCUGCUUCAGAGAUAAAAUGUGCUAUUUAUUAUGUAUUUUGAU
Long non-coding RNA from Gopherus evgoodei (Goodes thornscrub tortoise), 3613 nucleotides. RefSeq lists it as uncharacterized. NCBI's taxonomy places the organism in Eukaryota, Metazoa, Chordata, Testudines, Testudinidae. The record is from RefSeq and is a predicted model, not a curated record. The transcript is spliced from 3 exons.